This 66-nucleotide transfer RNA is filed under the name Chlorotocus crassicornis. RNAcentral describes it as "tRNA-Gly". Lineage: Eukaryota; Metazoa; Arthropoda; Malacostraca; Decapoda; Pandalidae. The record is from RNAcentral.
AUUUUUUUAAUAUAUUAAGUAUAAUUGGCUUCCAACCAGUAAGUCUAGGAUCUCCCAGAAAAAAUA